Molecule: ribosomal RNA, 251 nt
Filed under: uncultured bacterium
Lineage: Bacteria
Description: partial 16S ribosomal RNA
Rfam family: Bacterial small subunit ribosomal RNA
Source: RNAcentral
UACGUAGGGGGCAAGCGUUGUCCGGAAUCAUUGGGCGUAAAGCGCGUGUAGGCGGCUGAGUAAGUCUGCUCUGAAAGCCCGGGGCUCAACCCCGGGAGGCGGGUGGAUACUGCUCAGCUCGAGUCCGGAAGAGGAGUGUGGAAUUCCUGGUGUAGCGGUGAAAUGCGCAGAUAUCAGGAGGAACACCAAUGGCGAAGGCAGCACUCUGGGACGGUACUGACGCUGAGACGCGAAAGCUGGGAGCAAACAGG